CCUACGGGAGGCGCCGUGGGGAAUAUUGCACAAUGGGCGCACGCCUGAUGCAGCCAUGCCGCGUGUAUGAAGAAGGCCUUCGGGUUGUAAAGUACUUUCAGCAGUGAGGAAGGUGGAUGCGUUAAUAUCGUAUUCAUUUGACGUUAGCUGCCUAAGAAGCACCGGCUAACUCCGUGCCGGCUCCCGCGGUAAUA
This 194-nucleotide ribosomal RNA is filed under the name uncultured bacterium. RNAcentral's name for it is "partial 16S ribosomal RNA". It matches the Rfam family "Bacterial small subunit ribosomal RNA", at positions 338 to 525 of the family's 1533-position model. The record is from RNAcentral.